Molecule: non-coding RNA, 447 nt
Organism: Urocitellus parryii (Arctic ground squirrel)
Lineage: Eukaryota; Metazoa; Chordata; Mammalia; Rodentia; Sciuridae
Source: RefSeq, a predicted model, not a curated record
CUGCAGGGUCCAAAUGCCAAGCCUGUAGUGUCCUUCAUUGCUGGUUUAACUGCUCCCCCGGGCAGGAGAAUGGGUCACGCAGGAGCAAUUAUUGCUGGAGGAAAAGGUGGAGCUAAAGAGAAGAUUGCUGCCCUUCAGAGUGCAGGAGUUGUAGUCAGCAUGUCUCCUGCACAACUGGGCACCACCAUUUACAAGGAAUUUGAAAAGAGGAAGAUGCUAUGAAAGGAACAAAAACAAAAAGGUCCUAAAACUGUGGAAUGAAUCAUGUAGACUUGUGAACCAUCAGCAGUUUUCUUCUGUUGUCCACUGAUUGUCAGCCUUUGUGCCUGGCCCUGGUCUUUCAGCAUAACAGGAAGCCAAAGUUAAGUUUAGAAUGUCCUAAAUUGAGAUAUUUUCACCUAUUGUGUAACAGAGAUGGCCAAUAAAUCUACCAUUUGAUUUGAAUAU